This 746-nucleotide ribosomal RNA is filed under the name Klebsiella sp. HGH0257. Its description in RNAcentral is "bacterial SSU rRNA". It matches the Rfam family "Bacterial small subunit ribosomal RNA", at positions 76 to 820 of the family's 1533-position model. Lineage: Bacteria; Pseudomonadati; Pseudomonadota; Gammaproteobacteria; Enterobacterales; Enterobacteriaceae. The record is from RNAcentral.
GAGCUUGCUCUCGGGUGACGAGCGGCGGACGGGUGAGUAAUGUCUGGGAAACUGCCUGAUGGAGGGGGAUAACUACUGGAAACGGUAGCUAAUACCGCAUAAUGUCGCAAGACCAAAGUGGGGGACCUUCGGGCCUCAUGCCAUCAGAUGUGCCCAGAUGGGAUUAGCUAGUAGGUGGGGUAACGGCUCACCUAGGCGACGAUCCCUAGCUGGUCUGAGAGGAUGACCAGCCACACUGGAACUGAGACACGGUCCAGACUCCUACGGGAGGCAGCAGUGGGGAAUAUUGCACAAUGGGCGCAAGCCUGAUGCAGCCAUGCCGCGUGUGUGAAGAAGGCCUUCGGGUUGUAAAGCACUUUCAGCGGGGAGGAAGGCGAUAAGGUUAAUAACCUUGUCGAUUGACGUUACCCGCAGAAGAAGCACCGGCUAACUCCGUGCCAGCAGCCGCGGUAAUACGGAGGGUGCAAGCGUUAAUCGGAAUUACUGGGCGUAAAGCGCACGCAGGCGGUCUGUCAAGUCGGAUGUGAAAUCCCCGGGCUCAACCUGGGAACUGCAUUCGAAACUGGCAGGCUAGAGUCUUGUAGAGGGGGGUAGAAUUCCAGGUGUAGCGGUGAAAUGCGUAGAGAUCUGGAGGAAUACCGGUGGCGAAGGCGGCCCCCUGGACAAAGACUGACGCUCAGGUGCGAAAGCGUGGGGAGCAACAGGAUAGAUACCCUGGUAGUCACGCCGUAACGAUGUCGAUUUGG